Long non-coding RNA from Melanotaenia boesemani (Boeseman's rainbowfish), 170 nucleotides. RefSeq lists it as uncharacterized. The record is from RefSeq and is a predicted model, not a curated record. NCBI's taxonomy places the organism in Eukaryota, Metazoa, Chordata, Actinopteri, Atheriniformes, Melanotaeniidae. The transcript is spliced from 3 exons.
GUCUCACAGAUAAAAAAUCUGUUCUGUUUGUUAACGAGAUGUUCCAACCCAAACUAGAGCUGAGGCUGAAGUUUGAGGGGGGACCGUUUUCACUGCUGCACCACUAAACCUGCAGCAGAGCAGCUGUGUUGUUGGAGAUGUUGAGCAGAGAAACAGCAUGGAGAAAGAAA